UAUCUUAUAAAUCACAUUACAUAAGUUAAUCAGACGAAAAUGAGUCAUAUUACAAGGCAUAAGAAUCUCAAGAAUUAAAGUAAUAUUUGUUUUUAUAAAUCGCCUCUGUAAGUGCCCAAAUCCAUCCAGCCCAAUAAAUAAAAAAAUAAAAAAAUAAACAAAACAAUAACUAAAGUCCACUUACAAACCCAAAUAACCCACACAAGCUCAAAUACAUUACCCAAUCUAACCUAACCCUAAAAGCCCCAAACAUCCGAAGCCCAAGCCUGAAAUCUUAACAAAUCAGAAACCCUAGUUGAUCCCUUGAGCCUUCGGUGCCGCUCCACGUCAACGAGUGCAUUGCCUGAGGCCUGUCUCUCCCCUUUCACUGAAAUGGCAAGGCGCGGCUCCCCAGCACCAUUGACCUUGCCAUGAAUACCUACAAAGAAGAAGACAGAGAACAAAAAACAAAAAUGACAGGAAAAAGCAAGAAAAAGAACCAAAUAUUCUAUAAUAUAUUGCUAUAAAAGUCAUAACAAUGGCAUGUAAUUUUUUACAGACACACAAGGAGUCAAAUACAAAAAAAGAAAAGUGACAAGUUUUAAAGGUAGUUCAUUUAUACUUUUUUUUUUGAAAAAUAAAUAAAUAAAAGAUAGGAAUUUUUUUAUUUACUUGAACACUGCCUCAUAUUCCACCGUCGUGAGUGGACGAGGACACCGUCUCCGAUAAAGGACGGCUCCCUCCUAGCAUGAAAAACCUCCAAAUCAUCCCUGGUUUGUUUGAGACCGCUGGGGUGUGGAGGUACCCAUCAAAAAUUACAGAGAAACCAAAAGGCUUCUAGGGUUUUUCUUAUUUUCUAUCAAGUUUUAAGAAAUAUCAAUCCUAGAUUUGGGUUCUGGGAGUUAAAACGAUCGAAAGGGACAUCGCUUCAUGGAUUUCGGCCACUGGGGAUGGCGGACCCCGUCGUCGACAACUGGUUGCCGCCAUGGGGGCUCG
Molecule: long non-coding RNA, 975 nt
Filed under: Gossypium barbadense (sea-island cotton)
Lineage: Eukaryota; Viridiplantae; Streptophyta; Magnoliopsida; Malvales; Malvaceae
Description: long non-coding RNA (GBAR_LNC017540)
Source: RNAcentral